This 482-nucleotide ribosomal RNA is filed under the name uncultured bacterium. RNAcentral's name for it is "partial 16S ribosomal RNA". It matches the Rfam family "Bacterial small subunit ribosomal RNA", at positions 30 to 507 of the family's 1533-position model. The record is from RNAcentral.
AUUGAACGCUGGCGGCAUGCCUUACACAUGCAAGUCGAACGGUAACAGGUCUUCGGAUGCUGACGAGUGGCGAACGGGUGAGUAAUACAUCGGAACGUGCCCAGACGUGGGGGAUAACGGGGCGAAAGCUUUGCUAAUACCCCAUACGAUCUAAGGAGGAAAGCAGGGGACGGCAAGGCCUUGCGCGUUUGGAGCGGCCGAUGGCAGAUUAGGUAGUUGGUGGGAUAAAAGCUUACCAAGCCGACGAUCUGUAGCUGGUCUGAGAGGACGACCAGCCACACUGGGACUGAGACACGGCCCAGACUCCUACGGGAGGCAGCAGUGGGGAAUUUUGGACAAUGGGCGAAAGCCUGAUCCAGCAAUGCCGCGUGCAGGAUGAAGGCCUUCGGGUUGUAAACUGCUUUUGUACGGAACGAAAAGGCUCUGGCUAAUACCUGGGGCACAUGACGGUACCGUAAGAAUAAGCACCGGCUAACUACGUG